UCGAGGGGCAGCACGGUGUAGCAAUACACUGGUGGCGACCGGCGCACGGGUGCGUAACGCGUAUGCAACUACCCAUAACAGGGGGAUAACACUGAGAAAUUGGUACUAAUACCCCAUAACAUCAGGACCGGCAUCGGUUCUGGUUGAAAACUCCGGUGGUUAUAGAUGGACAUGCGUUGUAUUAGCUAGUCGGUGAGGUAACGGCUCACCAAGGCAACGAUACAUAGGGGGACUGAGAGGUUAACCCCACACUGGUACUGAGACACGGCCCAGACUCC
Molecule: ribosomal RNA, 278 nt
Filed under: uncultured Alistipes sp.
Lineage: Bacteria; Pseudomonadati; Bacteroidota; Bacteroidia; Bacteroidales; Rikenellaceae
Description: partial 16S ribosomal RNA
Rfam family: Bacterial small subunit ribosomal RNA
Source: RNAcentral